AGUGAACGCUGGCGGUAGGCCUAACACAUGCAAGUCGAACGGCAGGACCGUAAGAGCGUGCGCUUACGGGUGGCGGGUGGCGGACGGGUGAGGAAUAUAACGGGAUCUACUUUUUCGUGGGGGAUCAGGAAGGGGAACUUACGCUCAUAUCGCAUCCGACCUUGGGUGGAGGGCAUGGGAUCUUCGCGCCUUGCGCGAUUGAAUGAGCCGAUGUGGGAUUAGCUAGUUGGCGGGGUGAUGGCCCAGCCAGGCGAGGAUCGGUAGCCGGACUGAGAGGAGGAUCGCCCACCCUAGAACGUAGACACCGUCCAGACGCCUACGGUACGCAGCAGUGGGGUAUAUUGGACAAUGGGCGCGAGCCUGAUCCAGCCAUACCGCGUGGGUGAAGAAGGCCUUCGGGGUGGAAAGCCCUCUUUUUGGGAAAGAAAAGCAGCAGGUUAAUACCCCGCUGUUCUGACGGUACCCAAAGAAUAAGCACCGGCUAACUUCGUG
Molecule: ribosomal RNA, 492 nt
Filed under: uncultured bacterium
Lineage: Bacteria
Description: partial 16S ribosomal RNA
Rfam family: Bacterial small subunit ribosomal RNA
Source: RNAcentral